GCGGACGCGUCGGUUGGCAACGUGACAGGCUCCAACGCUGUCAACGUCUUCCUUGGCAUCGGCGUGGCGUGGACUCUGGCCGCCAUCGUCCAUUGGAGCAAAGAUGAGAAGUUCCUUGUCGAUCCGGGGAACCUCGCCUUCAGCGUCACGAUGUUCUGCUCAGAAGCGGCCCUCGCAGUCCUAGUGCUGGUCCUCAGGAGACGGAAGUCCAUCGGAGGAGAGCUCGGGGGUCCGCGCGGCAUCAAGAUAUGCACAUCCAUCUUCUUCUUCUCUCUCUGGCUCAUUUACCUUACCAUGUCUAGCUUAGAGGCAUAUGACAUCAUCCCGGGAUUUUAAUUUUAAGUGAAAACGAACUGUUGUUUGGCAAAAUAUGUGAUUUGAUGUUUGACAUUAAAGGACAAAUUGUGAAUUUUAUUUUACUAAUGUGCAUCCAGAAUUAUUUAACUUCAGUAGCUAUGAUGCUCUAAUCACAGGUGUUACUAUUGUUUUGAACUACUUACCUAUUGUUUUCAUAGAUGCUCAAUCUGUCAAUUUGCAUCACAGCUCUGUGAGUCUUGUCGUUAUUAAAAUAAUUAAAGUCAAGUAAGAUCGUCAAUAAAAGGGUGUUUCAAUAUACUCAUGGAUAAAUUUAGAGGAUCGCAAAAAAAAAAAAAUUCAAAAUUAGUAAUUAAACUUUUUUUGAGUUUCUCUUUAUUUAUUUAAUUACACAAACGGGUCUACCGCGAUAUAAUUACCCGUUUGUGUAAUCAAAUAUGUGUACAAAACGCGAGAGUUUACAGUUUCUCUUUAUUUGUCCAUGAAUGUAUAUGAAAGCAAAAAGCCCUUUCAAAUUGAUACGAUAACGAUCUAACCAAAAUAUUACGAAUAUAUUUUAUGACUUUUAGAGACACGGAGGCCAAUUCCAAUACGCGUACAUUUCGUUUGUACUUCUAUUGGCGAAUGAUUUCAAAAUCGCAUCAUUUUCAUGUCAAAAUAUAAAUCCAAUUGCCCUCCAGUUUAUUGUGUGAGUACAGUUACAUAACCUAUUGUUUUUCUGACAACGCGCUUUGCUAACUUUUCCAAGAAGAACUUGCAACAUUUAGGUACAGUCGGCGUCAAAGAUAUAUUUUGAAACAGACUUACUUUUUACCAUAUUACAAAGGUGCAAAAGUGUAAACAUAUUUAUGACGUCGACUGUACUGCUACUAAACACAUUUUAAACUUAAUUCAACAAGUAAUGAACUUUGACUAAAAAAAUAAAACACAUGUAUGCGUGUAAGAAAAUUAAUUAAUUAAUUUAAAGCUAGCUUUGUUAAAAGCUGCAAAGGAAUUAAAUGACAUAAAAAUCAAUCUUAAAAUCCUCUCAAAUUUCUCUAAUCUCUUACUUAAACAUUUUCUUCUAUUUAAAAUUUCUAAACUGGUAUCGUAAACAAAGCCUAGAAGGUUGAAAUUAGCUAGAAAAUGAAAGUAAAAUAAGAUGUUUCCAUUUUGGCAUAUUUUUUUUAUGUACCUAAACAUAUUUAUUUAAUUAAAUGGGGUAAGAGAAACAUUGGGAUGAGAGAACGAGGUUUAGGGAAACGGUAAGGAUAAGAACGUAUCAUAUAAUCUUGCACCGAGCAAAAUAAACUGUUUCUACAUAUUACCCCACAUGACCUUAGGUAAUACUUUAGUACAUCGUAAUGUAUCGAAUGGUUGAAUAAAAUUUUCUUUUAAUCAACUUUAAAUCUCAGCUUUUGUAAAAGGUGUUAAUUUAAUAACUAAGAUCCUUUUAGUUAUUUAUUAAAUAGAAAUAUAAAUAAAAGUUCAAAUGAUUACUAAUUUAUCUGCCCUAACUACAACUAGGUAGGUAUAGAUGUUAUGAUCUCUUGAAAAAAUAUUGUUUUUAUUUAUGAAAUAAAGUAAAAAAAAAACAAUAAUUAACAUCAAAAUAUAAUAAUUUGCCAUAAUAGUAUACUAAUUUAAAACAUAUAUACAAAUACGACAUUAUACGAGUACAUUAGUCAUUAGUUCAUUACACAAAUUGCUAUUCAUAUAAAUACCUACGUAUAAUUAUUUUUGACAUUACAUAUAAUUUAGUUUGUACUAGUGAAUAACUCUUAUUAACCUGCAAGUAUUUACAAAAAGUAUGUUGUUAAAAAAAAUAAAAGAUGAAAAUUGAAAAGUUUGUUUAAAGUCACUUGUUAUCAUUAUCAAGAAAAGUUAAAUUAACAAAUUAACUCAAAGUCAGAUUUUAAAAGCUCGAUAUACAUUUUGUAUAAAAAAAAAACAAAUUGUAUAAUCUUACUGAAAUUUUUGCAGCAAAAGAUUAUUAAGAGUUAUUUAAGAUUACAAACAAAAGUUUAUAAAAAAUAAGGAGCCGCGACUUAUUUUUUAGAAAGUUUAUUGUAGAUAAUGCCAAUUCAGUAUCGUUAAUUAUUUAAUUUUAAUUAGUGUUCUGUAAAUAAAUUAUGUAGGCAUAAAUAAUUAUGUUCAAGUAAGAAGUGUUCAAUAGCGUACUCGUACCAUGAAAAAGUGAUAUGUUAUUUUGACUAUGAAGUAAUUUUGUUCAUAAUCAGAAUAAUCGGUCAAAUAUCUAGAAUUAUCAGAAAAACACGUGAGUUGCAAAUGUAUAUAGCAGUAUGCAAUUAUUAUUAGUUUUUAAGCCAAGAGUCAGCAGGUUAAAUAGUAAACAUACUUUAUAAAAUGAUGUAAAAAAGAAUUUGGUGCAAAAAAAAACGGAGCCAGCGCACAAGCGCGUGUGAAAUUUUAGGGAAAAAUCAGCCGCGCGCGCCCGCGUCAGUUAGCGGCGCUCAGAGGGGCUACCGCCAAAACAGAAAUUCGCAAUUUGCGGGGAUCUUUCUCUUUUACUCCAAUGAAGGCGUAAUUAGAGUGACAGAGAAAAAUGCCCGCAAUUUGCGAACUUCGAUUUUCGCGGUUAUAGCCCAGGCGCUCAUACUAAUUUUCGUUAACCCGCUCGCCCGCUCCGUGCACUCGCGCGACGUUCCGGACGCUCUUAGAGUUAGGUACAUCAAGAAAAGUCUGCAGCGAUAUUGAUAGCCCACACAGUGAAAAUGUUAGUUAUACGUCAUAAUUUCAUAAAAAUUUGACGUUUCAAAUAACACUUGCACUGCGUGGGCUAUCAAAAUCGCUGCAAACUUUUCUUGGCCUAAUUCUAAGCGUUUUUAAAAACACAUUUCGUCAAUCGAGGUAGACAUUAAAAAUGUCAAUUUGCCUGUAUUGUUUUUUGUUGAAAUUAGAUUUAAGGUGCUUACACAUAUUUGUUAACUCGUUGGCACCAUCUAUUAUUUGUCCUUAGAUAUACUGCCAUUUUUAUGAGUAGCUUUAGGUUAGUGUUGGUCUUACUUAAGUAAUUUAUUAAUAAGCAAUUUUAUAAUUAUUUGUUUUAUUUUCGUUUGAUAUUUCUUAUUUAGAAUCUUAAAUAUUUUGGAUAUUGGUAUUUUUCAAAAACUUCUAUGAAAUUUUCUUGCGAAUGACUUUUUUUCAAAAACAAAUCUAAUCCAGAUUGAUAAUGUGAACGAUAUGAAUAGGUUGGAAAAAACAAAAAAUGUUUUUGUCCAAAUAUUUUUAGGAAUAGCUAAAUAAAUUGUAUUAUGUUCUACUUAGAUGACAGCAGCAGGCAUGACUGUGUCAAAAAAAUCACGCAUGUAGAGAACGUUACAAUUUUACGAGGAAUUGGAAACUUGACGAAUAUUCAGUAAAGUGACAAUUUGAAUGAAAAUAAAAUUGUUUUUCCGUCAUGUACUUCUUGUAUUCUUCAAAAUAUUUUAAAUGUGAAUAUUCCAUCAAUUGUUAGUCAAAAGAGCGUUCUCAUCUACUCACACGUAUAGUAAUUUCAACCUACUCUUACUCUUUCUGACUUAAAAUGUAACAAUUUUCUGCCUGAAUUCGGACCAAAUUAAUUUCGAAUUUAUUUAAAUUAGAAUUUUUCUACGCUGCUCUCAGUGAAAUUUUUAGAUUUUCUAAAUUUUCAAAAUGUAGAUUGUGCUUUGAAAUAUAGAAAUUUUAUAACGAUUUAAUUUUCAAUUUUAGACUAUCAAAAAUUAUAUUCGAGGAUUUUAAAGCUAUCGAUUUAAUCUUUCCCUAGACCUAAAUUUAAUCUUAAAUGGAAUCAAACUUCACUAACUCGCUUAUUACUAUUCCGAAUAACGUUCGCAUUUUCUUAUAAAAUACGUGACUACGCCACGAGAGACGCCUUUCUAUUUAAAAUAAUUUGCAUUAUUAUAGUAAAAAAUGGAAUAGCUAUCAAAGUUGACGACUUUGAAUAAAUUAAGUAAAAAAAAUCUCCAUAGCAAAAUUGGCGUACCUAAUAAUAAUUUUAAAACGUAGUGGAUUAUGAUACCUCGUGCAAGAUAAAUUUCUGCACGUGGCCAUUGAAUCAAAUUUAUAUUUAAAUAUAAAUCCUGGAAAUUUAAUAAAAAAAUUGCUCAAUAGAUAUUGCGAUUCAGACUGGGGUCCCUUUGUUUCCCAUAAAGUUUUAAGUCAUAAUGUAUUGUUUGUCAUAUUAUCGAUAGUCAUAAAACUGAAACCGUUAACUUUUCAGGAUUUUCGUAAGGUUAUUCUAUAGAUGGGUUAGGUUAGGUUUGUUUUAUGGCAUUCCUGAAAAGUUACGCGUUUAAAAAAAAAACAAUUAUGACAAACGAAAGUUCGGACAAACAAUACAUUAUGACUUAAAACUAUUUGGGAAACAAUAGAGACCCGAUUCAGACUACAAUAUCUGUGUAAAUUACAUACGUUUUGGAUUUUCUAAGCUCUAUAUCGGGUUUCUCGAUUUGAAUCUUUCUUCGGUAUCUAAUUAUUUAAUUAGAUACCGAACUAAUUAUUUAUUAGUUUUUCUCUAUAACAAAAUGAUGAUAGACUUUGAAUUUAUUUAACCUUAAAAAAAUUAUCGAUCAAUUAAUUCCGAAUUGAUGAAGAACUUAAAAAUGACAUAAACAGGAAUAUAAAACUAAAACUAACUACAAUUUAAACAACUAAAACUAAAAAUUAAAAAUACCUAUCAAAAUUUGGAACCCUAACGUAUUCCUAAUUUUUAAUUUUAGUUAUUGUAAUUGUAGCUAGUUUUAGAUUUAUAUUCCCGUUUAUGUCAUUUGUUAGCUACCUAAUAAAAUAAAUAUUCAUAAUUGAUUCAGAUCUUAAAAAUAAUUAUUCUAAUCGAUAAACCUGUCUAUCUAAUUGUCGUGAGUGUUUAGAUUUCUCUGGAUUAUUGUAGAUAUAACGAACUGAUAGUGUAAAUAGAUGUCGAUAUAGUUCCAAGUGUGCAUAUGGCUUCAAGAAAAAUAACACCAAAAAACAAAAAUAAUUAAUUUACUAUUUAUAUUUUGUGAUGAUUUCUGAAAACGUGAUACGUAUUUCAAUACAACAAAAUAUUUAAUUACCGUCCGUUGUAAGGCAUAAUAUUUUUAUAUUUACUUACUCAAUACUCACCCUCAAAUAUAUAUGAAUUUAAUUAUUUCAAAGUUCAAAAAGUAAUAUUUUACUCUUGUACAAAUACAACGAAUUAUGUUCAGCUGAUUAAAGCAUGUAUUUUGUUUAAAAGAUUUUAUGAGUGUUUAAAAUAAUGAAAUAUUGGCAGGUACGGUUUGUUUGCAAUAUGAAAAUGUUUAUACUAUCAUAAAAAAAAUACUUGUUACACCCGUCAAAUGGUUGGUUGCAGUCACUGUCAUUUACAAAAUUUUGAAAAAUUUUUGGUGAAAAAAAUUGUAAAUGUCUGUGUACUAGCCUUAACAAUAAAGGUGUGAUCAUAAUUUAUUUAGCGUCAAAAGCAAAAAAAUAUGGAAAAAGAGAAUCAAUAAGCUUUAUGUAGAAUAUUAAAAAUGGAAGAUAUGCCAUGUAUAUUUAACUAAAUGUAGUAUAGUAAUAAUAAUCGCCAGAAAAUAUGUGUUGUCGAAAAUCUUCUGAAAAUACUAAGGAGUAUUUCUAUUAUAAGGUAGAUGUCUUAAACUCUUUUAAUCUAUAAAAUGUUGUAUGAAAAGUUGCUGUUACAAACUAUAUUAAAAAAUACUUAAUAAUCUACCCCAUUUAAAAAAAAUCGUGGUUUUAGAAAUAAAAUAAUAUUAUUUAAUAAUUCUUUAAUAAAACAUUUGUUAUGUAAGGUAUUUGCAUUUUUUUAAUUUGAGUUAAGUACUUUUUAAAAAAAUUCACAUUAUUCAUAUUAUUAAAUAAGUGCUUGUAACAGCAAUUCUCAAACAAUAUUAUGAUUGUACGUUUCUCUUAGAAUAAACUAGAUACUCGUACAUACAUUUAUUUUAAAUCUUGUGGUUCCUAUUCAAACUCUACAGUUUCGGGCCUAUGCUUUAACUAAAUGGUUUAUGUAAUAAAUUUAUUUUCUAAUUGUAUCCAAAGCUCUAUGUAUUUGUUAAAUAUUAUUAAUAGAUUUAGUAAUUAUAGUAUUUAUUUUGUAUAUAGAUUAGUGUCACAGUUUUUCAGUAAAAAAACUAUCUAGUCACGUGAUACUAUUUAAAAAUAUAACCAGUGAGAAUAUGAAACGGCAUUAUUAUGAUUUUGAAAAAUAGAUUCAAUAAUUGAGAUAUGAGAAUCACAAGCUUUAAGGUCAAAUAGCACCCGCUAUCGCCAUUUAGGAUGACCCGCUAGAACGGCCUGGGUCCGGCCCUAGGCAUCCUACACUUCAGUUUUCUAUAGAAAGCAUCGCGUGAUCACCGAUCAUAGAAAAGAAGUGUCGGAAGACAUGGCACCCUCGGCCCGGACUCAGACCGUUCUAACUGAGUGAACCUUUAUUUGGAAGUGAUGUUUGGUCUGAAGUUUUGUUUGCCAUUUGAUGCUCAAAUAUCUAUAGUUUUUAUAAGCUGUAUUUUCGGAUAUUGGGUACUUAAUCCCGAAAUUCAUUUAUAAAUUACUCAUUUUCAAUUGUAAUUGGAAUUAUCCGCCACUUUUUUAGGGUUUUUUUCUUUCGGAAAUACCGGAAUACACCUUAUUACCCGAAUAUAAUCUAUGGUAAUUUAUGAUUAUUAAAUUAAGUAAUUAAGUUAAAAUGUAUUGUGUUAAGUCUUUUCGUCACAUUCAUAUUUGUGAAUAUUGGCUAGAUUUGAUGUUUGAUACUAUUGCUUACUCCCUUUGCGAGCUCAUAUAUAGGUACCUACUGAAUAAUAGAUUUCAAUUAUACUGAAAGAUUGUGACACUAUCCAACUUAAUAUUAGUUUUAUAUCGACAGCACGCCGGACGAUAGAUUGAUUGUGUUAUUUUGAUAAAUUAUUGUUAUAUUAUUAAAGUGUUUGUUAAGUAAUAAAUAA
Cydia fagiglandana is the source of this 7226-nucleotide long non-coding RNA. RefSeq lists it as uncharacterized. The record is from RefSeq and is a predicted model, not a curated record. The transcript is spliced from 2 exons. NCBI's taxonomy places the organism in Eukaryota, Metazoa, Arthropoda, Insecta, Lepidoptera, Tortricidae.